This 4885-nucleotide long non-coding RNA is filed under the name Capsicum annuum. RNAcentral's name for it is "long non-coding RNA (CANN_LNC016219)". The record is from RNAcentral. Lineage: Eukaryota; Viridiplantae; Streptophyta; Magnoliopsida; Solanales; Solanaceae.
UCUACUUCCGAAUCCUUUCAGCUUCACCCCUCGCGCUAUGGCAUGUAACCUGUAAAUUGCAUAUGAAUUUAAGAAAAAAAAUAAUAGUAUAUGAUAGACUUUGUCAAUGCCAUUUCAAUUUCUAACGUGUAAUAAAAAAAUAGUAAAGAUAACAGAAUUUCUUAAGAGUACACGGUAAUAAUUUAUAAUUUAUUAUUGUAAACAUUAAAAACAGAAUAUAAUUUAAAAACUUACCUCAAAUCAAUUUGAUAUACCAAUUAAUAAUUAAUAAUUAUACGAUAUUUAGUACGUCCGAACUAAUAUAUCUUUUCAUGAAAACGAACGUCUCUAUUAAUAAAUUUCUUCAAAAAUAUACGAUAUAGUAGAUCAUAUUGUUAUGUAAAGUCCUACUUCCAAAAGACCCAUCAGUAUGAAAUCUAGAAGGCGUGACCUAAAGAUGAAUUUCUCAACAUAUGCAAAUAUUUUCUUAUACUUCUAAUGAUCACACUUAUACAUGUUUUAAUUUUUAAUUGAUAUAACAUAUUUCAUUUGAAAUGUUUUGCUAGAAAGGAAAAAAAAAACUCGAUAUUUCAACCCAGUUUGUGAGCUAAUCAUAAAAUAGUGUUGAUAACAUAAUCUCGAGAAUAACCUUUUUUCAAAAGGUAAAAAAUUAUCAACACCUGGUGUUUACAUCAAGCCAAUACAUACAUGCCAUGUGUUUAAAUUUAGAGUACAUUUUACUUAAUCAUAAUUAAUUAGCUUGUAUUUUAUAUUAGUAAAUUAUUUAAUCAUAAUAAAUUAUAUUAAUUUAGUGUAAACACUAAGUGUGGACAUAUUUUUACCUUUUCAAAAUAGUUUCAAAAAUUUUAUUGAAUAUUUCAGAAUAAAGAGAACAUAUGAAUUCAUUUAUUUGGAUCAAUUUGGAUGUAGAAGAGAACAAACCUCAUGAGGUAGACAUCUAUAAUCAUUAGUCUCAUAGUCCAUUGCCUCCUUAAUACUCCUGCAAGCAUCCACUAUCACCAAAGCAAAUUCCCCUCAAAAUGUCUCAAACUUCAUGUUAUUCUUGUCAACUGUUCGAUGUGUGCUUUCCCAAAAAUCAUCUAAAAAACACAGCCAAAUCAAACAAUAUUCGAUCUAGGUUCACCACUAAAGAAAGAAAAGAAUAGAAAUAAAAUAUGCACAAAUUAAACAAAUUUAGUUUUUAGUUAAGAGAAAAAAAAGCCAGUCAAAAGAUGAACAAUAAAAUUAACCCUAAUAUCUAAGAGUUUAAAAUCAAACUAAUUUUCACCACUUAAAAAAAUAACAUUUCAAUAAUUUUUUUUUUUUUUUUAAAAACCUAUGUUAUAUACUCUAUUCUCACACACCCAAUCUUUCCCUUUCUUCUAACUAUAUUAGAGGAAUAGAAAGCCAAGACUUGGGGAAUGAAGAGAAAGCCAAGAAGAAUAUUAAGACAGAUAAGUGUAGGUUAAGGAGUACCUGAAUUUUCUAAUGUUUUUCAAACAAUGAGGAAGUUCAUAGACAACUUGGUUGUCAAUUCGCUUAGUUGCUGUAUCUGAAGUGCUUAAACCUUGUAUUGAUGAAAUCACAUAAUAUUCAAUGACGAAUUUAAAAUUUUCACUAAGGAGGUUUGAAAACUAAAAAUAUAGUGAUUGAGAUAUGAACUUGAACCUAAAGGUGAAUAUUGAACUUCCUCAACUACUGAUCCAACCUCUAAUCUUACGUUCUAAAGGUUCAAAAUCAAUAAAUACACAUAGAAUAUUUUUUAAAAAUUCUAUUGAAUACGUGCCAUGAACCUAGCCAAAAAUUUGUUGGACAACAUUACAAUAAUUUCAAUCAAAUAAUCACAAAAUAAAAAUAAAUUAAAUCAGAAGAUGAAAAAAAAAAUUCACAACAAUUGACAUAUAAAAACAAUUAAAAUAGUACAUGAAAAUUCGUUUCUUACUUCAUUAUUGAAUACUUUUUCUUUGAAAUCAAGAGACACUAAUAAGGCCACGAAGAAAAUUUAUUAUCAUAUAUUGACCAUGAGAAAAAAAAAAAAACACAAACGAUUAUUAUGACCAUUAGGGUAUUAUAUUGAAAGUCCAAAAUAUAACCCUAUCAAUUAGGAUUUCUAUUUAAAAUAUAUAAUUAAUUUCUUUUCAUAAUUUCAUUUUAUAAGGUUGUUCUCAUAUAUUGUAGGAGUCCUUAAUCUUUUUAUUUUAGUUAUAAUAUUUAAUUCAAAUAAGGAAAGAAUUUGUAUAAAACAUAAGUUUAAAUUGAUAAAAAUCCUAUUCAAGUAAGGAAAGAAAUUCUAAAUUGAUUAAAAUCCUAAAAUUUAGAAGUAGUUUAAAUAAGGAAAAUUUUUUAAACUAAAAGUUAUUAGGACAAGAAUUUAAUUAAAAAUUUAUUUGAUAUAAAUAAGUUUCCCAACGUACCCUAAUUAUUUUUUUUUUUUGGGGAGAAAAACAGAAAUCAAAGUAAAAAAUUCAAUUGAGUUAAAAGUGUUAAAUAAUGAUUUAUUUUUGGAACUAAAAUCAUAAUAAACGUACAGUAGUUUUUUCAAAACUUUAAGUGAGAUUUUCUUUUUCUUUUUUACUUAAAGUUUUCUAUUAAAUCAUUUUUUGUUCUCUUAUCAUAUAUUUUAGGACUUUUUUCUCUAUAUAUUUUUAUUUUAUCAUAUAAUUUAGCUCUCCUUGCUUUUAAAUAUUAAAAGUAUAAUUAUAUAAUAAUUUAAGGAAAAUAGUGAAAAGACAAUUUCGUCUAUUGCAUAGUAUUUUAAUGAAGGACAAAAAGUUCAAAUCAUUUUUCUAAGGGCCUUCACACUUUUAAUAUACUAGUCCAGUGUACGUGCUUUGCACGUACAUCACGUCAAUAAAAAAAUCACCUACAAAAAGAUAAAAUAUAUAAUAUGUAAUUGCAAUUACAAUAUAGUAUGCAACAUUAUAUUUAUUUAAAUGAGCAAAAUAUAUAAAAUUUUAGAAUCUGACUUAAACCCAAAACACUAAAGAAUUAUACUUUACAUCCUAAAUAUUCAUAUCUACAGCAUAAAUUAAUGCAAUAAAAGUUGAGAUUAAAAAAAAUAAAUUUGAGACAAAAAUUAACGUAGUAAAAAUUAGUCGAAGAAGAGAAUGUGAAAUUAUAAUGGUAUUUUUUUUUUAUAAAAGUAUAGGAUUCAUAAAUUAAAAAAGAUACUAAUUAACAUUAUAGUAGAAUUUUUAUAUUUUAGCCAAUAUUUUUUUCCUUUACUGGAAGAACCAAAAACAAAAACAAUCGUACCACAUUUUUUUUUCUUUGGGGUAAAGUAAACGACCCCUUUUUAUUUUACAAAAUCAUAAAUAAUCGGGCUUUUAGUUUUUUGAAAAAUAGUCAUGCACACAAUAAAACACCAAAUAAAUUUUUUACCAUAAAUUUAGAAUUUUUUAUUUAUUUAUUAUAUCCAAUAUUCAAUAUAUUAUAAAUUAAAGAGAGAAAAAAGUAAAAAACAAUUUUGUCUGAAGCAGAGACUUUUAAUGAGGUGAAAAAUGUUCAAAUCACUUUUCUAUUCUUGGGAAGAGUAAAUGGGGCUUUUAUUUUUUUUGGAAAAUUGUCCUGCACAUAAAACACCAAAUAACAAUUUUACCAUAAAUUUAGCAAUUCAUUUAUUUUUUAUUUAUUUAUUGUAGCCGAUAUUCAAUAUAUUAUAAAUUAAAGAGAGAAAAAAGUAAAAAGACGAUUUUAUUUAAAAUAAAGACUUUUAAUGAGGGGCAAAAAGUUCAAAUCACUUUUCUAAGGGUCUUCACACUUUUAGUAUAUUAUAGAUUAUAGAUGUAUAUGAUAUACAUAUUUGUCUUUUCAAAAUAAAAGUUAGAGAUAGUAGGGUAAAAAAACGAAAAAACCGAAAAAAACAAAAAGAAAAAAAGAAAAAAAAAACGAAAAAAGAAAAGUGAAAAAGAAAAAAAAGGAAAAAGAGAAACUGAAGUGUAAAAAAAAAAAUUAAAAAAUUUAAAAAAAAAAUAGAAAAAAGAAUAAAACGAAAAUAGAAAAAGAAAAAAAAGAUAUGAGAAAGGAAAAAAAAAAGAGAAAAUAAAGUGGAAAUAAAAAAAUGAAAAAGAAAAAGAAAUCAAAAUAAAAAAAUAAAAUGAUAAAAUGAUAAAAAAGUAGGAUGAAAAAAAACUAAGAAAAAAAGGAAGAUAUACAAGAGAGUGAAAGACAAUAAUGAUGUUUUAUUUUGAAAUCUUGAAGAUCAUGGAGAUAAUUAUCUUUAAAUAUGAAAAAAAAAAACGAAAAAAGAAAAAAAGAAGAAGAGAAAUAGAAGAAAAAAAAUAAAGUGGAAAUAAAAAAAAAAUAAAAUAAAAAAAUAAAAUGAUAAAAAAUAAGAUGAAAAAAAAGGAUAAAAAAUAUGAUUAUAUUUAGGGGAGAUGGAAUAGUGGAGUGAAAAUAGAAAAAUGUAAAGAAGUGAGAGUAAAACAUGCACUUGUCUCAUGAGUAAAAUAAUGCUAAUUUGCUAUAAAUUAUAAUUUUAUAAAAAUAUUGCUAUUUAUUAUAAUUAUAAUCUUAAGUAUGCUACUUUUUGUAAUUUUUUUCUUUCAAAUCUGGCCAGCUUUUGGGCCUAUUUCUUAUGGACUUUUGGUCCAUUUCUGGAAUGCAUACAAACUGCACAUCAGACUUGCUGCUGCUUUAUGCAUACACACUAUAUAUCAGUGUAUUAAAAACUGAUAUCCUCGCUUCUGAUGCUCUUAUACGCUAUAUACCAGCAAUAUUUGACCUGCAAGUCCCGUAUAUUUACUGUAUAUCAACGUAUAUCCACCUUGUUUCUUCACGCUAGUCCCUUUGGGUCUUAGUCUCGGAGAGCUGCAGGGAUGGGAGUCCCCAUUGGACUCGUUAGGAAAAAGUUCAUGCACAAGAGAUAAAAGAAUAAGGAUUAGUACGCGUCUACUAAUAAUAUGAC